Long non-coding RNA from Alnus glutinosa, 1423 nucleotides. RefSeq lists it as uncharacterized. NCBI's taxonomy places the organism in Eukaryota, Viridiplantae, Streptophyta, Magnoliopsida, Fagales, Betulaceae. The transcript is spliced from 3 exons. The record is from RefSeq and is a predicted model, not a curated record.
AAAAGACAAAAAUAAAAAAAUGUUAGAAAAGAUUAAAAGGAAAAGAGAAUUAGAUGAAAACAAAAGAUAAAAUAAAAUAGAACAUUAAAUGGAGAGAUGAGGGUGUGUCGGCCAUAAAGAGAGGAAGAGUUAAGUGGAAAGAUAAGUAAAGGGAAAAGAAAAGAAUUAAAAAUAAAAGGAAAUACAAUUGCAUGUGGGACAACCUGCGCCCCACAUGCGUAAAAGUAGAAUGAAGGGCCAAAUGGCCCUUCACUAAUAAAAGGAAGAAAGGCUCCCGAGAGCCUUAUUUCAGAAAAUGGAGAGAGUUCCUCAUUUCUCUUUCCUUAAGGUUUUUACACAAAAUUCAUGAUCUACGAAGAUCUAAUGGUCCGAUCUUCGAUCCGUCUUCAGAAACGUGAUCCCUGCACUUGGAUCUACGUUUCCACCGAUCGUUUUGAGUGAUACAUUGCAAGGUGAUGUCUAGGAGACCUAGUGCUUAAUAUCCGCGCAGGCAGGUUAUGAACAGAGAGACCUAGGCGGCCGGAAUGGGAUCUAGGAAUGCAUUAGAAUAUUGCAUUUAUGUUUUCUUAAUAAGUGCACUUGCACAACAAAUUUAGUUUUCUUUGGAUUUUUAAUUAUUGAAUCAAACAUAAUUGUUUAUUUCGAAAUAACCGUUUCCGCAUUUAUUAAAAGCUCUGAGUUUUAAAAUCAUUAUUAUUUUUAAUUUAUUUAAAUCAGCAUACUAGUUAAGAUAUUUGGCAGACCUUACGAAUCUUUGCAGUUUUUAAAGAGAAAAGAACGAACCUAACCCUUAGUGGUUUGGGGGCGUUACAAUUCGAGCUACCAACAUAAAAGUAUUAUUGUAGGUGGGUUUAUACGUGGUUGCUUCCUAGCCAAAGGAACUUCUACGUAUGGGUCCAACUGCAUAGUAUGUUUUAAAGGUUUUCUGAUAGUCGGUGUAGGCUAUAUCAGCUAUUGGGGUUUUCAAACAAAAUUCUAUAAAUUGGUAGCUGUUAUAGUGUACGCGAGACUAAAAAGAAAAGUUGGUUCAUUUGGAAAAAAAAACUCAGUUAGUUUAAUAUCACUGAGGUGGUGAACUCAUCCCUUCACCUAUACGGAUGUGGCAAACCCCCACAACCGUAUAGAUGAUGUCCAUUUGACUGCAGGUACACCUGACUUAGAGGAGGACCCCGUAGCUGCGUAUUUGGGAUAUUACGAUUGAAGCACACCGCGACAGUCGUAUUGAGUUGGACUAUGGAGUUCACUCUUUUGGGGUAUUUUGUAUAUGGCUAGUGACGUAGGUGUCACAUAUCCUUUUGUGUAGCCAUUCUCUUGUAUUAGUGGAAUUGUAGCCUUAAACAGUUAGACAGAUAUAUGGCUCUUUUGUAUGGACCACAUGUAUAUUUAGAUGUGCUUUCCGUUAGGAGAUGUAACGUCAUGAUUA